AGUGAACGCUGGCGGUAGGCCUAACACAUGCAAGUCGAACGGCAGCACAGUAAGAGCUUGCUCUUACGGGUGGCGAGUGGCGGACGUGUGAGGAAUACAUCGGAAUCUACUUUUUCGUGGAGGAUAACGUAGGGAAACCUACGCUAAUACCGCAUACCACCUACGGGGGAAAGCAGGGGAUCUUCUGACCUUGCGCGAUUGAAUUAGCCGAUGUCGGAUUAGCUAGUUGGCGGGGUAAAGGCCCACCAAGGCGACGAUCCGUAGCUGGUCUGAGAGGAUGAUCGGCCACACUGGAACUGAGACACGGUCCAGAGUCCUACGGGAGGCAGCAGUGGGGAAUAUGAGGCAAUGGGCGCAAGCAUGAUACAGCCAUCCCGCGUGGGUGAAGAAGGCCUUGGGGUUGUAAAGCCCUUUUGUUGGGAAAGAAAAGCAGCAGGUUAAUACCACGCUGUUCUGACGGUACCCAAAGAAUAAGCACCGGCUAACUUCGUG
RNAcentral lists this ribosomal RNA (492 nucleotides) under uncultured bacterium. Its description in RNAcentral is "partial 16S ribosomal RNA". It matches the Rfam family "Bacterial small subunit ribosomal RNA", at positions 29 to 507 of the family's 1533-position model. The record is from RNAcentral.